Lates calcarifer (barramundi perch) is the source of this 1236-nucleotide long non-coding RNA. RefSeq lists it as uncharacterized. The transcript has 2 exons. The record is from RefSeq and is a predicted model, not a curated record. NCBI's taxonomy places the organism in Eukaryota, Metazoa, Chordata, Actinopteri, Centropomidae.
GUGCCCCUCUGAAAAGAAAUGUGAACUUUAUGAAAAAAACUUGUCUCCAAUGUCUCCAGGGGCAGAGCGGGUUGAAAGAAUGCACUGAUUCACCUUAAUCCUUUAAAAUCCUUUGUGUGACAGUGAUGUGAUAUGCUAAUGACUUGUCUCCUUCUGCCCUAGGUGACAGAGUACCUGAACAGUCAAGAAUCUGCCAAGAGUGCCAGGCUCAACAUUUGGCGCUACGGAGACUUCCGUGCAGACGAUGCUGAUGAGUUUGGUUACAGCCGUUAAAAAAAAGAAGAAAAAAAUAAAGAAGUGAAAAAAUAAAAUCGACCAUCCAAUCAACACCAUUCCAAAGACCAACAUGGACGGCAAGUGACGCAUUGGACGGAAGACAGAGUAAAGAAAUGACAAAAAGCUAAACGACAAGCAUUGACUCACUCUUCCUCUUUAUUUGACAUUUCAUCCCUCUAGUCCUGACUUCUCCUCUGUGAAUACCAUUUCUUUUUUUUUUCAGCUACCCACUGUAGCUCCAACUAGAGCAUGCUAGCAAAAAAAGAAAAAAAUUAAUCAUGCAAGAAUCAUUUUCCAUUCAUCCUUGAUUUUCCUAAUGGGCCACUGCCAGCUCAAGCAGCCUGCACUAUUGCCAAUCUGUGUUACUUGCCAUGUUACCCUUUCAGCAGACUUCCUGUGUGAAUGAUAAUUAUGAUACUUACAUAUGAGUUUCGGCCAAUCAUGUUCCUUGUUCUCUGAUGCUCUUGUCCAAUCCCUGCUUUCCUCUGUACAGGAAGGGACUGGGUGUUUGGGGGAGAAUGCUCAACUAUUUGCAAACAAAUGCUUCCCUAAUGAAUUUCAUGUAAAUGUGAGGAUAUGUUGAAAAGUGUAAAUGGAUUUAUUUUAGAGACAUACUGUAGGUGGAGCCACACAGACAAAAAAAAAGGACAAGUUUAUUUUUGUCUUCAGUGUAUAUCUGUGUGAUGAUGACAUUUGCGGAUGUUUUUGUGGGGAGUGUUUUGUCGUUUAUUCACUAUGUCACACUUUUAUGACCGGUAAAUAUGGACGCCAUUGUGUGGCAUUUUAUCAUCAAUCUCCUGUAAAGUUUACAUUCUAAUAAUGGUUAUGAUCCUGUCUCUGGCAGUCUCUUCUCUUUCUGUCUCUGUAUGCCAUAGCAGAAACAGUGUUUGAAUUUAUUUCCACAUAAUGGACCUUUGCAUUCUAUUAAAAAUCUGCUGAAUAAAAAUAAGCAAACUAAAA